GUCACAGUGGCCGAGUGGUUAAGGCGACGCCCUGCUAAGGCGUUGGGUUUUACCUUCGCAGGUUCGAAUCCUGUCUGUGACG
Molecule: transfer RNA, 82 nt
Filed under: Spathaspora arborariae UFMG-19.1A
Lineage: Eukaryota; Fungi; Ascomycota; Pichiomycetes; Serinales; Debaryomycetaceae
Description: tRNA-Ser (GCT) (tRNA-Ser-GCT-1-1, tRNA-Ser-GCT-1-2)
Rfam family: tRNA
About the family: Transfer RNA (tRNA) molecules are approximately 80 nucleotides in length.
Source: RNAcentral